GUGUCAGCAGCCGCGGUAAUACAGAGGUCCCAAGCGUUGUUCGGAUUUAUUGGGCGUAAAGGGUGCGUAGGCGGCAGUGUAAGUUGGACGUGAAAUCCUGGGGCUCAACCUCAGAAUUGCGUUCAAUACUGCAUUGCUAGGGCGCUGUAGAGGAGAUUGGAAUUUACGGUGUAGCAGUGAAAUGCGUAGAUAUCGUAAGGAAGACCAGUGGCGAAAGCGAAUCUCUGGGCAGCAGCCGACGCUGAGGCACGAAGGCCAGGGGAGCAAACGGGAUUAGAAACCCCAGUAGUCC
This 292-nucleotide ribosomal RNA is filed under the name uncultured bacterium. RNAcentral's name for it is "partial 16S ribosomal RNA". It matches the Rfam family "Bacterial small subunit ribosomal RNA", at positions 505 to 796 of the family's 1533-position model. The record is from RNAcentral.